This 460-nucleotide ribosomal RNA is filed under the name uncultured bacterium. Its description in RNAcentral is "partial 16S ribosomal RNA". It matches the Rfam family "Bacterial small subunit ribosomal RNA", at positions 338 to 795 of the family's 1533-position model. The record is from RNAcentral.
CCUACGGGAGGCAGCAGUGAGGAAUAUUGGUCAAUGGACGAGAGUCUGAACCAGCCAAGUAGCGUGAAGGAUGACUGCCCUAUGGGUUGUAAACUUCUUUUAUAUGGGAAUAAAACGUUCCACGUGUGGGAUUUUGUAUGUACCAUAUGAAUAAGGAUCGGCUAACUCCGUGCCAGCAGCCGCGGUAAUACGGAGGAUCCGAGCGUUAUCCGGAUUUAUUGGGUUUAAAGGGAGCGUAGGUGGAUUGUUAAGUCAGUUGUGAAAGUUUGCGGCUCAACCGUAAAAUUGCAGUUGAAACUGGCAGUCUUGAGUACAGUAGAGGUGGGCGGAAUUCGGGGUGUAGCGGUGAAAUGCUUAGAUAUCACGAAGAACUCCGAUUGCGAAGGCAGUUCACUGGACUGCAACUGACACUGAGGCUCGAAAGUGUGGGUAUCAAACAGGAUUAGAUACCCUAGUAGUC